This 3913-nucleotide ribosomal RNA is filed under the name Triticum aestivum (bread wheat). Its description in RNAcentral is "partial small subunit ribosomal RNA". The record is from RNAcentral. Lineage: Eukaryota; Viridiplantae; Streptophyta; Magnoliopsida; Poales; Poaceae.
GAGCUCCUAACCCACUGACUUAAAGGUACGUUGAAGCAAAGGAAGGGGAUGCAGCAACAGAGGUAGUGAGAGGGGGCUAAGCCGGCGGCUGGAGCGGCGAGGAGAUAGGGCGGCGGCGGGCGGCGGGAGGGGAGGGAGGGUAGUGGAAGAGAUGCGGCCGUCCCGAAGGUGGACACCUAACCCCUAGACGUGGUCGCUACCCGAGGAGGAAGCGGGUCCCGUCGUCCAGGCGGAACGUCCCGGCCCCGCCCUCGUCCUCGCCCGGCACGAAACUGGGCCGAGCAGUCGAGACCGUACCUCCUCCUGGAGAACACGCGCCACCGCCGACCUCCUCCUCAACAUAAGCGGUCGUUGGCGCUGUCUUAAUAGAGUCAUCAGGAAAUAAAAAGAGAUGUGUUAACUUAAAAUCAACGGACCACCAGUGACACACGCGUUAAGAGAAUUUAUAAAACAUAGUGAAUAUGCAGAUAUGAAGUUCUAUCCAUACCUGUAACUCAUUAAAGUCGGUUGAACGGUAUACCAUUAACGUCCAACUAAGGAGAAGUCUAAAACGAAAUCAUACAAAAAAAUGGCUAAAGAGCUACUAGGGGUCUUAGUGUUUUAGACCAGUAAAGGUCCAAAUCGUAUUAUCUAAGGAGCUAGAUCGUGAAGAAAACUAUAUCCUCCAAUAAAAAAAUGAUUAACCUCCAAAGUCCGGAGGUACAAUUAAGAUUCUCCCGUUUCAGACAACGUUAUAAACUAGAAGUCAGAUUGGUACUACUUAAAAGUCGGUCCGGGGUGAAAGCCAACUAAUACCACCACCUUACAACUGUUCGACACAGACAGAUGGAUAGUAAGAGAGUUAACAAGUCAAAUUCUUGAAAACCGUCUUCCGACCUGAAACCCGUAGCCGGUUUAGUAGGACUCAUGAAGAACUCAAAAAAGAGAGUCGACACCUAAUAUUAAAUAAACGAGCUUACGAACGACUCAACCGGCUUGAGUAGUGUGAGACCUCGAGCGCACGACAGUCUCUCCUUCUGUGUGUAUGAUACAACAGAACCCGUUUAAGUGACUCUAUCAACAACUAGUGGCUUGGAAUAAAGAAAGAGAGAAAGAAAACGGAAAGCGGAAACAUUUCGUAGGACAAGUCGCCAGACCACUAUUGUCCAGUGUGACAAAAUACACCGUGAUUAUAGUGGAAGUACAUUAACUGAGGCCAGUGGGUCCUAGUACGGACCAUCUUUCACUAUUAUGGAAAAAUAAGUUUUUUCUUCUCAAACCUACACCUCUCGGGCGCCUAAAUCUUUUAACCUUCCAGCAAUACCGGAGUUCCUCCGUAUGAUACCUACACGACGUCUUCUGCGUACGCUUCUACAGCUCGUACACCGAGACGCGUGUUCUCUUACGUCACUCAGGUAUAUUAGGUUAAAGGAAUGAGACAUCUGAGGUCCACGGAGAACUAAGUGGAAAAAAUGUAGGGUAUCUUCUAUUCCUUUCUGUACAAAAAGUCAAAACUACACGGUACUUGAAUCUAAAAAAAUGACCUUGAUAUAUUCCGAAGUUUUAAGUCAAUAGUCUUGUGCUUAAUUAGGAUCUAUUGUAUACAACAACCAGACCGUCGAAUGACGGUCUUUUCAACACGAGAGUUCCCCACGCUCCUGACGAUCCCUACAUGUCCAUACUGUGCACCUCUCCCACGACUGUUAACCGUUAAGUUUGAGACUUUUUGUGUUUAAGAGUGUAAUAAUGUCUUGCACAACGAUUUAGUACUAUCAAAUAUUCAUGCAAUGACUUACAUGACUUGGUGUACAAUCAUCACUAGCACUUAACACCUUUGAACUACUAAUAAUAUAUAUUGGUUUAAAACGAUCGGACGAACGGCAUUCAAACAAAGUGGUUGUCUAUCAACAUACAUACGUGUCCAUACGUCGCGUAACGAGACAAGGUUUCACACACGGACAGAUUAAAAUUAAACUAUAACACACACGCACGGACAGAUUAAACGGCAACACACACUAAACCAGACAGUGACACGCCAGGAUGAUAGGAUUCCUAACGACGGUUUAAAAAACAACAAGCAAGUCCAAGAAAGUUACGACGUCGACGAAGGAGAAGGAGACGAAGCUUAGCUAGAAAGCAUCCAUGCUUCGUACUAGAAAUUCGAGUACGUACAAGUGAUAAAAGACGUCUUAAGUGCUUAUUCAUUUUGGAUAUACCGCCUAGCCUGUAAGACAAAGGUGAAGAGAUGUAGUACGACGGGUGGCCCGUACCUAUAAGUGGAGGUGGUUAAACUAACUAGGAUACAAGAUGAAGUCAAAUAGUCGAUUCAAAUAUGUGACAGGACUUUCCGGAUUCGGGUUUAGCGUACAAUUAAGGGACCUGUUAAAAAAGAAGGUUUUAUACAGGACAACAUAAAUUUACUUGUCUAGGAAGAUUAUGUCGUGAUAUGUAACCGUUUCUCUAUUAUAUAUGACCAGAGUGAGUCUAAAACAAGAAGUACAAGUAUAUAUUCAAGAGAAUAAUAGAGAAACACAUGUAGAAGUUUAUCGUUGAAUCAACCACCUUAAAUACAAGGACGAAAUACAUCGAUUUAUUUUUAGUCCUUGAUACAACGUCACAAAUAAGGAAUCGAGAAAACUAAAUGUUUAUUCAGAUGACAACAUGUUAGGAAUAUUAACUUCAACCAACAAGUUCGUCUGUGUUACACGUGACUGUCUUCUACCAUCCUUGUUACCAGGUUUAAGUUGAUACAUAAACGGUUUCAACUAAUACGAAUUGAGAUCCGUAACGUAAUGAUAUAGUACCACAUGAUAAGAAACUUCUUAAACAUCCUCCAUGAUCUUUUCGUACUGAACUACUCGCUACGGAACUAAAAUUUUUUGUCGGCCUUUAUUAAAUCAAAUCAUUUUAUAACAUAUCGGAAGAGCAUCUUCAAACUAUGUGAAAAAGUUCUUUUGCUUGAAACCAAUUAGUAAUUCGAUAUUGAAAAGAGUAUAAACUUGUUGUUCCAAUAAACUCAAGACGAUUUUUUUCACCGUUACGAUUUUUUUCUCCGAUAAAACACAUUGAAAACGUUUGAAACACCUUUCUUCGAUUUUUAUUGACUAAAGCAACAGAUCAGGUGUCAGGUUACAAUUAGAUCUCCCACCUUAGAAAUUUGAAGCAAUUACGAAAGAACAGGCAAAACUAGUUUAUAUACGGACUACACCAAACAUAUUUGAAUACCACCAUAUCAAUCAAAACGAAAAAAAACCCGUCCUAUAUUAUUGUAACAUCCAUCUGCCUCUGACUUAGUAAAGUGUGAUGAAACUACAGAUAGCUCGGUUACCCUGUUGUUUCUUUUCUUCUUGGCCUUCGUCCAAAAGAUAGAAGUGCUCGUUCAGCCGCAGACAUUUCGAAACGACCUCGGUAAGGUCGAGAAAGUCUCGGUGUUCCGUUCCUUCGGCUCCUUGGUCCUGCGGUUGCCACGCCUCGUCAAACGGUAGCUCUCCUGAUCCGGUUCUAGUUGUAGAGGGAGCACGGAGGUAGUUGUGGCACAGGACCUCCCAGCAGCGGCAGCGCGGCAGGCGCUGCUACUCGUUGACAGCAUCGAAACAUUCGACGUGCCAAUCUCCCUCCGUAGUUCCCGGCCGGUGGCGACGCCCCCGGCUGCACGCACGUUAAAGAUAAUUACAUAGAAUACAACGGUUUGUUGUUGUACGAGAACAGCUACGAUAUAGCAACACCCGCACCGUAAAGUCAAAGAAGGAGUCCACUACAAGGUUAUAUUAUUCAAGGUAGUUCUUAACGUACAUAUAGAUGGACCGUGGCGGGUCUACGGGAGUUCACCGCGGGGUGCCCGCGCGGUGUUGAUGAUCAGAAUAGGUUCGGUAUGUAAGAACGUACCGUCCCCUAUGUGAUCAUCUUAACAUUUUUAAUUUUAAUAUUCAACUUC